Molecule: small nucleolar RNA, 106 nt
Organism: Eutrema salsugineum
Lineage: Eukaryota; Viridiplantae; Streptophyta; Magnoliopsida; Brassicales; Brassicaceae
Rfam family: Plant small nucleolar RNA R71
About the family: R71 is a member of the C/D box family of snoRNAs containing the C (UGAUGA) and D (CUGA) box motifs. Multiple nearly identical copies of this snoRNA have been identified in Arabidopsis, and it is thought to function as a 2'-O-ribose methylation guide for 18S ribosomal RNA.
Source: Rfam
AAACCAUGAUGAGGGCAGUCUCUCUCAUACUCUUUAAAUCACUCCCAAGGUUCAUAGAAUGAUACUACAGGGCCUUGUUGGAAACUUUGUAUGUUCUUUCUCAGCU